Molecule: RNA transcript, 3861 nt
Organism: Arabidopsis lyrata subsp. lyrata
Lineage: Eukaryota; Viridiplantae; Streptophyta; Magnoliopsida; Brassicales; Brassicaceae
Gene name: pentatricopeptide repeat-containing protein At5g65560-like
Exons: 3
Source: RefSeq, a predicted model, not a curated record
CAGCUAGUGCCGGAGAAGAGAAGCAGACGGAGGAGACGACGGAAGACGUGACAAGAUAUUGAUCUUCUAGAUGAUGCAACUGUCGAUGAUGAUGUUGAUGAAGAUGCGAAUUGCGAAGAUUCUGAUAGUUAUAGAUGUUAGAGAUGUGAAUGGAGGGCGGUGAUGAAGGGAGCACCUGGAAGCGGUGUCCACGUGAAGCACUGAAUCAUUGUCUCACUUUUGUCUUUUUAUUUGUAUAAGAAAAAUAAUUAAAAUUCUUAAACAACAAAGUGCGAAUCUUUGGGAACUGUUGAGUUUGAAACACGUGUUCCAAAAAGUUAAAAAGAAAAAAAAAACCUGUCUCUGUCUCUCUUUAACUUUCUCGCCACGAUGAAAAUCACGGCGGCGGCCACGGCGGUCUUUCGGAGGCCGAUCUCUUCCAUUCCUUACGAAAUCGAGUUGAAUCCUUUUGAUUUAGAGCAUUUACGGGCACUCAAUAGCUCCGGCCUCCGCAAACGCAAACACGAAGGCAAAUCCAAGAACCGGUCUGUGGUUAAAGAGAGAUGGCAGGGGAAUUUUUACCUGGAAUACUUUCUCUCGUAUAUAACGACUUCCGAUGUCUCCUUCCUGGAGCUGGAUCCAAAUUUCGAACACAGUAUCUCUUGCUAUGCAUCCGUCCUCAACGCUUUAACCAAACAUGGAAUUCCGUUUCAUUUGCAUAAGGCUGUCACAUCGAUGGCAGGAAAGUGCGGUUCGGUGCAAGAAUCUUUGUUUGUUGUUGAUUUCUGGAAGCAGCUCAGUGAAAGGUAUAGCUACCAACUUAAAUACAGGCUUACUUCCAAAUGCUAUAACUCUCUGUUUAAGAUAUUAGCAAGGUUUGGUCUGAUCGGCGAAAUGAAGUGGCUCUAUACAGAUAUGUUUGUUUCACCUGGAGUUUACACGUAUAAUAUCAUGAUUAAUGGGUAUUGUAAGUUAGGGUAUGUGGUAGAAGCUAGGCAGUAUGUGUGUAAGAUGAUUCAAGCUGGUUUGGAUCUUGAUUAUCACACGUAUACAUCUUUUAUCCUCGGUUACUCUAGAAGAAUGGAUGUGGAUUCUGCUUUCCAGGUUUUUAAGGACAUGCCUUGUAGAAAUGUGGUUUCCUACAACCACCUUAUUCACUGUCUUUGUGAUGCCGGCAGGAUUGAUGAAGCUGUGAGCUUGUUUGCGAGGAUGAAAGACGAUGAUGGCCUCCAUCCCACGACUUAUACAUACAAUGCAUUGAUCAAAGGGUUUUGUAAGAAGAAUGUGCACAGGGCAAUGAGACUCCUCCAUGAGAUGCGAGAGCUCAAUUUGGUUCCGAAUCUAGUCACUUACAACUUAUUGGUCCUUGGACAGUGUAGGUCUGGUAAUUUAGAUACAGCAUAUAGACUUCUUGCUUUGAUGGAACAGAGCGGGGACCUAAACAAUCGCGCAUACGGGUGUAUCAUAGAUUCUCUUUGUAAAAGUAAGCGGGUAGAAGAAGCCCAUGCUCUUUUCGAUUCCCUUGGGAAGAAGGACAAGGCAAACGUAGUCUUGUACAAUUCUUUGAUUGAUGGAUACUGCAAAGCCGGGAAGCUGGACGAUGCUCGCCUUCUAUUUGAGAUCAUGGAGGGUUACUGCUCACCCGACUCAUAUACUUUUACUGCCUUGAUUCAUGGGAUAUGCAUUGAUGGAGAUUUGAAAGAAGCCUUGUCUUUGGUGGAAAAGAUGGUCAAGAUGGGCAUACAACUUACGGCCUGUACACGCACAAUCCUGAUCAGGAAAAUGCUCAAAGAAGGGGAUUUUGAUGAAGCUCAUAGAUGUUUUCGCCAAAUGUCGUCCUCUGGACAGAAGCCUGACGCACAAACUUACAACUCAUUUGUCGAGGCCUAUUGUAGUGCAGGGAGAGUGCAAGAAGCCGAGGGUAUGAUGGCGAACAUGAAGGAAGAUGGUGUUACUCCAGAUGUCUUCUCAUACACUUUGCUGAUCAAAGCUUAUGGCGACCUAGGGAUGACCUGUUCUGCAUUUGAUGUCCUAAAGCGCAUGUAUGAUGCUACCUGUGACCCUUCUCAUCAAACUUUUUUGGCAUUGAUCAAACAUCUCUUUGAAAAGAAGUACGCGGCAGGCAGAGGUGGUGAAACAGCACUAGAGUUGGGGGAUGCACCAGGUACUAUUAAAUGGGAGAUGGUGGAUUUUGAUAUCAUUGUCCAACUCUUUGAAAAAAUGGUAGAUCAUGGGUGUACCCCUGAUGAAAAUAGCUAUGAGAAGCUCAUAUUGGGGAUGUGUAAAGUAGAGAACUUGGGAAUAGCACAGAGACUGUUUGAUCAGAUGGAAAAAAGAGGAAUGGCUCCGAGUGAGAUGGUUUCUAAUGCACUUCUUUGCUGUUUCUGCAAGCUGCAAAAGCAUGAGGAAGCUGCAAAGUUGGUGGAAGAUAUGAUUUGCAGUGGCCAGUCACCGGAAUUAGAGUAUUGCAAAAUGGUGAUUCUCAGGUUGUACGAAGGAGGAGGAAAAGAGAGAGGAAGAUCAGUUUUCCAGAAGCUGCUUCGUUGUGGCUACUACGAUGAUGAAAUCGCUUGGAAAAUUCUUAUUGAUGGUAUGCUUAAGCAGGGGCACAUUGACGCAUUUUCUGAACUGUUCCAAGCAAUGCAAAAAAAUGGCUGCCACUUCAGCCCUCAAACAUAUCUAUCGCUUACUAAGGGGCUUCGCUGUAAGACUGAUCCUAUUGUUGCAAUCACUUCGAGUGCUGGAUGUGUCUGAGGCUAUAGGGCUGGCCUGUUUUUGGGACACCAACUGUUUUGCCGUAACUUAGUGCAAGGCCCACUUCUGUAAGCUAAGUUUCUCAAACUACUUUCUAUAAGCCAUUCUUUCUGUUCCUUUUCUGUUGCAUUUUUUGCUGGAUUUGGACUACCAGAACUCACACAAUCUUGUAGGAUGUCUCCAUCUUUUAGUUAAGAUAAAUGCUAACAAUGCAAGUACCAAUUGUAAAAGGACAACCAGAACAUACACUUGCAUGAAUACUUUCAAAAUAAGUUAGUGGAACCUCUGAAAACUGUAAAUCAUAUACUUGGAGAGAAAUAAAAUCACUAAAUAAGUGAAUUCAAGAUGGAGGUGAGAAACUAGAAGUCCCUGACUUCAAUUGGAAUCCUAAGACAAAGUUAAAAGAUCUUUUUGUUUUCUUUUGACUGUGAAAGCUUAUUUUCUGCAUAUAAUCUUUAUACAAUCUUCAGGAUGGGGAUCUGAAAUGGGUGAUUUACAGAUUCAUUGUCUCAACAAAGCGUCGUCUGCUAACUACGGUUGGUUGUGCUAAGAUUUACUACAAAGAGGGGUGGUCUCUGCUAUCGUUUCGUUCUUCUUGGCGUGGCAGAAGUACGCAGAUUGGCCAAUGAGGCUGAACGGUUGGCCUAAUGGUGCAAGGUUACGAGCCUUUGAUGAAAACACUUGCAAAAAGAAUUGAGUCAUAGCAAUGGCCCUAAACACAAAACAUCGAAUUCGGGUGUACGAGGACAAUAUGACUUAUUGGUGAAGGCUUCUGGUGCUGACAAGUUCGAUGUCAAAAACGAGAGUUCCAAGAGUAGAACCUUCUCCAUUGGCGAGACGUGUUGGGUUAAAGAUAGUCGUGAAGAGUCUCUGUCUGUCAAAGAACUUCAAACCACAACAAGAAACAAACAAAGAAUUUUUAAACCAAUCUUGGUAAUAAAUGUUUCUGCAAACAGUCUUUAUAAUAUGAUUGGUUCUCUAAAACCUUCACAUUCAUCAGAUUGAUACUAGUUCAAGUCCCAUUGGCUACUGAACAUGACGCAAAACAAGACCUUAUGAAGAUAAAUGUCUAUGAAACUAAUAACAGUGACUUAUCAUGAUAUAAAAUUCUAAGCUGCUUUUGUUUCA